AUUUGACAUUAAUCAGCCUUUUAUUUAAACUUUAUUCUUGCUGUGUCAGAAGUUUAAAAAAUCUCAGGUACAAAUCUCAAGUACAAAACUCUGUAGAGGGCUUUUAAUUUGAAAUGACAGAUGACAGGAAUUGGAGACAGGUGCAGAGCUUAAUUACUCUGAGCAGUGUUUAGUUUGUUACUGCACCACAAAACACCACUCAGUACUGUUUUAAAAAAACAGUAAAACCUUAAACUAAAGCCAUAAACAGACAACAGAAAGCUACAGUUGACCACACAGCUGGCAGUGGAAAGUGGGUGAGCAUGCUACUGCUGCUGAAAACAACUCUUGUGGAGACGCUAAGAGAUCCAUACAGACUGUGGACUGUUGUACCCAAUAACAGCUGAAGGGCAACCCUAAAAACACCCCUGUUUGUAUUUUGAAGUUGCUGCAUGUUUCUUUCACUUCUAACAAGUAAGUGUACCUCUCUAAACUCUCUUUAAGUUUUAUGUUUGGAUUUUUAUUUUCCCUAUUCUUUUGUAUUGCAC
Astyanax mexicanus (Mexican tetra) is the source of this 527-nucleotide long non-coding RNA. RefSeq lists it as uncharacterized. The record is from RefSeq and is a predicted model, not a curated record. The transcript is spliced from 3 exons. NCBI's taxonomy places the organism in Eukaryota, Metazoa, Chordata, Actinopteri, Characiformes, Acestrorhamphidae.